CCACUGGGUUUUAUAUGGAAACCAAGUUGACAAUAAACUAAAAAUUAAGAUCUUGAUACAUCUGGUCAAAUGGCUCUGUAUCUUUUGGGAGUAGGAGGCUAUGGUUCCAAGUAUAUUAGUAGGCAGCACCAUUUCUUCAGAGUUGCCCAAAAUGCUCAGGGCUGAGCCAACAGGAAGCUGCCUUCAUAAGAAAUCCUGGGACCUAGUCAUUCAUUCAAAUAGGCCCCAUGGGCCUGUGUGCCUAGAAGAUAGCUUUUGAACAUGAUCCUGAAGGAUCCUGCAAGGUCCACUCAAAAGAGAUACUAACAGUAGAAGACUCUAGUCCUGGUUGAUGAACAAUGAAGUCAGAUCUCCUGAAGACAGCAUUAACAGAGCUCAUAGAGGAGGGGUGAAAAAGAAAAAACAAACAACCCAUCCAGCACCUGCUUCACUGCAAAUUUCCAGGGGACAAAAUGUCUGCAUUCUGUACUUCAGUCUCACCCUACAGCAUCCAUAUGUGUUUGAUCUGACUAACCUGAAUAGGAGCUCAAUUUCAGCACCCCAAGGGGAAAAAACCCAUCCAUGACCAUCAUAGAUGAAAACAAAAUGUCAUUGGAAUCGGUUAAUUUUCCCCAAGACAACCCAUUGAGCAGAAGUUAUGAAUCUGCAAGCAAAUCAUGAAAGGCACAGCUCCCCUGAAAACACAUUUUUGUUGACUGCUUCAUUGAAUAUUCUUAACAACGAUUCUUGAUGAACAACUCUUUCCAUCCUGUAAGCAUAGUGUACACAGUCUCGCUGCUCUGUGGAUUUAUGUCCUUGAACAAGAAGCCUGGUUCACAGAUAGUGACAAGCCUAAUCAAAAAAAGUCUUAGAAAUCUCUUCAUUAGGACAAUUCAUUCAGCAGAAGUUAAGACUGUGCAAGCAAACCAUGAAAGGCACAGCUCACCUGACCACACAUUUUUGUUUAUUGCUUCACUGAAUAUUCUUUACAAUGAUUCUUGAUGAAUGACUCUUUCCAUCCUGUAAACAUAGUGUGCACAGUCUCGCUAGUCUGUGGAUUCACAUCCUUGAACAAGAAGCCUGGUUCACAAAACCAGAAAGACUAUUGAAUACUGAAAAGGAACUCAGGGUUGAAGGCGGGGGUGAAGGGAGGUGGUGGUAAUGGAGGAGGGC
Long non-coding RNA from Suricata suricatta (meerkat), 1152 nucleotides. RefSeq lists it as uncharacterized. NCBI's taxonomy places the organism in Eukaryota, Metazoa, Chordata, Mammalia, Carnivora, Herpestidae. The record is from RefSeq and is a predicted model, not a curated record. The transcript is spliced from 4 exons.